AUUGAACGCUGGCGGCAUGCUCUACACAUGCAAGUCGAACGGUAACAGGCCGCAAGGUGCUGACGAGUGGCGAACGGGUGAGUAAUGCAUCGGAACGUGCCCAGUCGUGGGGGAUAACUACUCGAAAGAGUAGCUAAUACCGCAUACGAUCUAUGGAUGAAAGCGGGGGACCGUAAGGCCUCGCGCGAUUGGAGCGGCCGAUGUCAGAUUAGGUAGUUGGUAGGGUAAAGGCUCACCAAGCCAACGAUCUGUAGCUGGUCUGAGAGGACGACCAGCCACACUGGGACUGAGACACGGCCCAGACUCCUACGGGAGGCAGCAGUGGGGAAUUUUGGACAAUGGGCGCAAGCCUGAUCCAGCAAUGCCGCGUGCAGGAAGAAGGCCUUCGGGUUGUAAACUGCUUUUGUACGGAACGAAACGGCUCUGGUUAAUACCCGGGGCUAAUGACGGUACCGUAAGAAUAAGCACCGGCUAACUACGUG
Molecule: ribosomal RNA, 482 nt
Filed under: uncultured bacterium
Lineage: Bacteria
Description: partial 16S ribosomal RNA
Rfam family: Bacterial small subunit ribosomal RNA
Source: RNAcentral